This 71-nucleotide transfer RNA is filed under the name Candidatus Iainarchaeum sp. RNAcentral's name for it is "tRNA-Gly". It matches the Rfam family "tRNA". Rfam says of the family: Transfer RNA (tRNA) molecules are approximately 80 nucleotides in length. Their secondary structure includes four short double-helical elements and three loops (D, anti-codon, and T loops). Further hydrogen bonds mediate the characteristic L-shaped molecular structure. tRNAs have two regions of fundamental functional importance: the anti-codon, which is responsible for specific mRNA codon recognition, and the 3' end, to which the tRNAs corresponding amino acid is attached (by aminoacyl-tRNA synthetases). tRNAs cope with the degeneracy of the genetic code in two manners: having more than one tRNA (with a specific anti-codon) for a particular amino acid; and 'wobble' base-pairing, i.e. permitting non-standard base-pairing at the 3rd anti-codon position. The record is from RNAcentral. Lineage: Archaea; Nanobdellati; Candidatus Iainarchaeota; Candidatus Iainarchaeia; Candidatus Iainarchaeales; Candidatus Iainarchaeaceae.
GCAACCGUGGCGUAUUGGUAGCGUUCGAGCCUUCCAAGCUCGAGGGCCGGGUUCGAUUCCCGGCGGUUGCA